GCCAAAGCCUCUCGUGUGUCGAAACAGAAGUUGGAGACUUCCGGAAAGUGCAGAGGAAACGGUGGAACGAAAACGGAAAAACAGAAAACAAGAAGCAGCCCUUCCUGGGGACGCGGGUCCCCUAUUGCCCUCCCUGGUGGACGAAACCCGGGCCCGGGGCUUCUGCUCCGUCUACUCCUUCACUCAUCUAGAGACCCCUCCGAAACGAUUUCCAAGCAUGCUGCUGAAAAAGGAAGAAACUCCACCCAGGGUGGCACACCGCCUAGCCAAAAUGAAUACAGUCGAACCUUUUUAACUGUAGUUAAAGGGUGAUAUAUUGCUAUUUUUUCUCGUAUUGUUAUACUUUUGUAAUAAACAGUUUGAAGUAUUUGUCAAUGACUUCAUUUUAUCAGUAGUCUAAGCAAAUAAAACAUGUUCAUAUAUAUACUGAUAUACGACAUAAAACGAGGUGUGUAUCUACAUGUUAGACCAAAUCAAAUUAUCUCGGUCAGAGUGGUGUGAAAAAUAUGCAUCGAAUACACAAAUAUGCAUAUUUAAUUUUUAUAGACUAAAACCACGGACCUAACGGACCUAAGUCCGUGCUAAAAUUACCCAAAAUAAAUUUGGGAAGAUUUUCCUUCCCGCAUACAACAAGUUUACACUCAGUCUCUCUGGUAAGUGGCCGGUACCUCAAAGGUGACACUCCCCUUCCUUCCCACUAGCAUGGUUUAUAGGUGUUCCAGUAAUGCAUAAAAACUAGAUCUACUCUUUUUCCACUGUCAUCUCCAAAAAUUGAGUGCAAUGUCCAUAGUCUCAGGCAGAACUAUUUUCCUAUUUUUUUAGAAAAAAGUAAUAACGAAAAAGAGAGUGUAUGAUCGGACGGACGGACGGACGGACGGACCGACCGACCGACCGACGGGCGGGCGGACGGACGGACAUAAAGACAGACCCGGUAUGGCCACAACGAUGCAUGGCACACAUAUUUAAAGAAAAUAGAGCAGUUUUCAUGGCCUGGUGGUUAAGGCGUUCGCCAUCGGAGCGGGCGGUGAUGGGUUCGAUCCCUGGCCGUGUUAUACCGAAAGACGUUAAAAUUUGGUACAAGUAGCUCCUUUUCCUGGCGCUAGGCAUUUAAAGGAUACAGCGUGGAAACGGUCUCUUCAUUGAAAAGGGGCUAGGGUAUCGCACCCGGACUUCCCUGUAUCCCACCAGUGUCACUUCCGCGUGCUGUCCCUUCAGCAAAAACAAAGG
Molecule: long non-coding RNA, 1227 nt
Organism: Mya arenaria
Lineage: Eukaryota; Metazoa; Mollusca; Bivalvia; Myida; Myidae
Exons: 3
Source: RefSeq, a predicted model, not a curated record